GCCCCGGUACUCCAAUCGGUAGAGAGGGCGGUCUCAAACACCGCACAGUGUGGGUUCGAAUCCCACCCGGGGCA
RNAcentral lists this transfer RNA (74 nucleotides) under Allostreptomyces psammosilenae. It matches the Rfam family "tRNA". Rfam says of the family: Transfer RNA (tRNA) molecules are approximately 80 nucleotides in length. Their secondary structure includes four short double-helical elements and three loops (D, anti-codon, and T loops). The record is from Rfam by way of RNAcentral. Lineage: Bacteria; Bacillati; Actinomycetota; Actinomycetes; Kitasatosporales; Streptomycetaceae.